AAGUGGUCGUGGGUAUAAGUAUUCCCUUAUGGGCUUUCGCUAUCGUCUUUAUGCUGGUGAACGUUUACAAAUGGUACACUCUCACCUGGCUAUCGUUAGCGCCGCUGGUGAUACUUCUAUUAGUGGGCACCAAGCUUGAACUUAUAAUCAUGGAAAUGGCCCAAGAAAUUCAAGAUCGAACCACAAUUGUCAGAGGAGUCCCUAUUGUAGAGCCUAACAACAAGUAUUUUUGGUUUAAUCGGCCCCAGUGGAUUACCUUCUUAAUCCACUUUACCUUAUUCGAGAAUGCAUUCCAAAUAGCCUUUUUCUUGUGGUCGUGGUAUGAAUUCAAGAUCACGUCUUGCUUCCAUGAAAACUUGCCGCUGAUACUGACAAGGGUUUUCCUUGGAAUAGUCUUGCAAGUCGUGUGUAGUUACAUUACAUUUCCUCUCUACUCCCUAGUAACACAGAUGGGAUCUCACAUGAAAAAAGCAAUUUUUGAAGAGCAAACUGCAAAGGCACUAAAGAAAUGGCAGAGGGUUGCAAAAGACAAGAGAAA
Molecule: small RNA, 538 nt
Filed under: Vigna angularis var. angularis
Lineage: Eukaryota; Viridiplantae; Streptophyta; Magnoliopsida; Fabales; Fabaceae
Description: Non-protein coding transcript
Source: RNAcentral